GUCAUUAAACCCCUCAAGUCUUGCCUGGCUUGGUCUUGGGCCUCGCACCUCCGGGUGGGCCUCAAAAUCAUUGGCAGCGCAGGCGGACUUCAAGCGUAGUAGUUUUCCCGCUUUGGAAGUGGCCGCCUGGUCCUGCCAGUUAACCACCUAUUUUCCAUAUCAUUGACCUCGGAUCAGGUAGGGAUACCCGCUGAACUUAA
RNAcentral lists this unclassified non-coding RNA (200 nucleotides) under soil metagenome. Its description in RNAcentral is "partial contains internal transcribed spacer 2 and large subunit ribosomal RNA". The record is from RNAcentral.